Molecule: ribosomal RNA, 253 nt
Filed under: uncultured bacterium
Lineage: Bacteria
Description: partial 16S ribosomal RNA
Rfam family: Bacterial small subunit ribosomal RNA
Source: RNAcentral
UACGGAGGGAGCUAGCGUUGUUCGGAAUUGCUGGGCGUAAAGCGCACGUAGGCGGCUUUGUAAGUUAGAGGUGAAAGCCCGGGGCUCAACUCCGGAACUGCCUUUAAGACUGCAUCGCUUGAAUCCAGGAGAGGUGAGUGGAAUUCCGAGUGUAGAGGUGAAAUUCGUAGAUAUUCGGAAGAACACCAGUGGCGAAGGCGGCUCACUGGACUGGUAUUGACGCUGAGGUGCGAAAGCGUGGGGAGCAAACAGG